This 756-nucleotide ribosomal RNA is filed under the name cyanobacterium enrichment culture clone 5_RT_5.1.8_H05-T7. RNAcentral's name for it is "bacterial SSU rRNA". It matches the Rfam family "Bacterial small subunit ribosomal RNA", at positions 54 to 851 of the family's 1533-position model. Lineage: Bacteria; Bacillati; Cyanobacteriota. The record is from RNAcentral.
CAUGCAAGUCGAACGGGAUCCUUCGGGAUUUAGUGGCGGACGGGUGAGUAACGCGUGAGAAUCUGCCCUUAGGUUGGGGACAACAGUUGGAAACGACUGCUAAUACCCAAUGUGCCGAGAGGUGAAAGGUUAACUGCCUGGGGAUGAGCUCGCGUCUGAUUAGCUAGUUGGAGUGGUAACGGCACACCAAGGCGACGAUCAGUAGCUGGUCUGAGAGGAUGAUCAGCCACACUGGGACUGAGACACGGCCCAGACUCCUACGGGAGGCAGCAGUGGGGAAUUUUCCGCAAUGGGCGAAAGCCUGACGGAGCAAGACCGCGUGAGGGAGGAAGGCCUAUUGGUUGUAAACCUCUUUUGAUAGGGAAGAACACAAUGACGGUACCUAUCGAAUCAGCAUCGGCUAACUCCGUGCCAGCAGCCGCGGUAAUACGGAGGAUGCAAGCGUUAUCCGGAUUUAUUGGGCGUAAAGCGUCCGUAGGUGGCAAACCAAGUCAGUUGUUAAAGCGUAGAGCUUAACUCUAUAAGGGCAAUUGAAACUGGUUAGCUAGAGUGCGAUAGGGGCAAGGGGAAUUCCCAGUGUAGCGGUGAAAUGCGUAGAUAUUGGGAAGAACAUCGGUGGCGAAGGCGCCUUGCUGGGUCUGCACUGACACUGAGGGACGAAAGCUAGGGGAGCGAAAGGGAUUAGAUACCCCUGUAGUCCUAGCCGUAAACGAUGGAUACUAGGCGUUGUCCGUAUCGACCCGAGCCGUGCCGAAG